GCCAAUGACUGGAGCUUUUCUUUAGUUGUUUUAGGUAGUAUGGCACUGAGCAUUUAUUUGAUUGAAAAACCCAGAUUUUUCGAUCUUUCCUAUGGCCGCUAUAUGAUAAUGUUGUCGUUCAUAUGACGCUCUCCAAUAUCCGCUAAUAUUCUGGAAGGGACAAGACGGAUACUGCAUAAACAUAAAACAACGAGAUCCCGUAUCAGGAGCUGAAACCAACAAGAACGUUAGCUCAAAGGAUUAUUAUGCGUACCGAUUAAUGAUUAGACGUGGCCUAGACAACGUAUUCUACGAUGUCGUGAGCUUUGUCAACAAUUCAUGGUCGACAUGUACGCGAAGAUUGAGAGCGAACGACUACGAUUCUUACGAUAUAAUCAACUAAAGCUGCGCGCGGAAGAGUACAUUCAUUUGCGGGACGCUAUCAACAACAACGCCAACGUCGCCGAAAUUGGUAACCAUGUCAUUUGCCAUCAUCAUUACAUGUGUUCGGUCCCACACGAUGCUGGCUGUAUUCGGUUGAGUGGCAAAAGCGAGGAUUACCUCAUGCAAACAUUUUGGUUUGGUUAAUCGGCAAAAUCCGUCCUGAAGAAAUCGAUUCCGCAGAAAUGAAAAUUCCAGAUCCAUCCUCUGACAGACUGCUGUUUGAUAUUGUUACAACAAACAUGAUUCACGGUACGCGAUUAGUAAUUAAAAAAUUAAUGAACAACGUGA
Drosophila ficusphila is the source of this 711-nucleotide long non-coding RNA. RefSeq lists it as uncharacterized. The record is from RefSeq and is a predicted model, not a curated record. NCBI's taxonomy places the organism in Eukaryota, Metazoa, Arthropoda, Insecta, Diptera, Drosophilidae. The transcript has 3 exons.